Molecule: transfer RNA, 75 nt
Filed under: Candidatus Haloredivivus sp. G17
Lineage: Archaea; Methanobacteriati; Methanobacteriota; Candidatus Nanohaloarchaea
Rfam family: tRNA
About the family: Transfer RNA (tRNA) molecules are approximately 80 nucleotides in length. Their secondary structure includes four short double-helical elements and three loops (D, anti-codon, and T loops).
Source: Rfam by way of RNAcentral
GCCUCGUUGGCUCAGCCUGGCUAGAGCGAUCCCCUCGUAAGGGAUAGGCCCCGGGUUCAAAUCCCGGACGGGGCU